AAUACUCUCCAGAUUUUUUCCGUGAAUUUUCGGAGCUCAAGAAAUAAUUUUAAAGUCACAAAGUGCAUUUAAUCAAUUUAAAUAAAAAGAAAAAAAAAUUAAAAGACUCUCCUUUCCCUUGGGCCAUUUUUUGGCCCAAGUCCUCCCUUCCUCGGGCCGGCCCAGCUCGCUCCUCCUCUCUCUCAAAGUCCGGCGCACCUCCCUCUCCUGGCCUCCCCUCUCCCUCCCUCGCCGACAGGUGGGCCCGUCGACCCCACUUGUCAGCUCCAUCCCCAACCUCCAGCUCCAUCCCCAACCGCCGCCCAUGGCCGUCCACUACACCGCCAAAUCCGCCACCUCCUGUCUCCCGAGUUUGCAUUCAACCGCGUGGACUCGGUCCCCUCCACGUCCUCCACCAUUUUCCCCACUCUCCCCAUGAAAAUCGGCGCCGGUUAACCCCUCCACCACCCCCACGUUGGCGCCCUACGUCGCCGGCCGUUUGCCGCCCUCAUCGGCCACGAUUCUCCCUCCCCGAGCAUAUAUAAACCAUUCCCACACCUCCCUCUCCAUUUUCCCCUCUCUCCGGAGCCCUCCCGUGCCCAAAAACCACAGCGCCACCGCCGCUCCUCGCCUCCGCCGCUCGCUGGCGAUUUCCAGCCGCCCCUCACCGCUGCUCCAGCCGUCGCCGCGCCGAGCCGCCGCCACCGCCAGCUUCGCCACCGCAAGGGCAAGCCCGGCCGCCUCUUAUUUCCCCCUCUCCACCCCCUGAGCACCACUCCCGCCGCCAACCCGAGCCACCGCCGCUUCUACCGCCUCCAGUUGCCCGCCACCGCCGCACGCCACCGUUGGUCCCACUGGCUUCGCCAUGCCUUGCCGCUUCCCGUCCACCCCUCCUCCUCCAAUCAUCACCGAAACUCCACCUCCGCCGUGCACUCGAGGCCGAUGCUGUGUUUGGUGCCUCCAGCCGCUUGCCUCCGGUGCUCGGAGCCACGUCCGGCAGCGCCGACAACCCCUCCGUCUUCGCGGUGUCGAGCCGCACGACGGCCACCCCUCCCUCUUCGUUAAUCGCCGUCGGAACUCCGUCCCCUUCGCUUGAGGUCGCGGCCGCCCUCGUCCGCCGCGUCCCGCCCAUGGAGCCGCCACGGGAGCGCCGUCCCGCCGUCGUCCCGAGGAGCUCGCCGCCGCGCCCGUCGCCCCUCACCGCCUGGCGCACGCGUGUAGAAUCCGCUGUUUCGGAAGUUCGCAGUCGCGAGGAAAAGAGUUCAGAAGGUUGAAGU
Long non-coding RNA from Oryza sativa Japonica Group (Japanese rice), 1256 nucleotides. RefSeq lists it as uncharacterized. NCBI's taxonomy places the organism in Eukaryota, Viridiplantae, Streptophyta, Magnoliopsida, Poales, Poaceae. The record is from RefSeq and is a predicted model, not a curated record.